RNAcentral lists this ribosomal RNA (538 nucleotides) under uncultured Oxalobacteraceae bacterium. Its description in RNAcentral is "bacterial SSU rRNA". It matches the Rfam family "Bacterial small subunit ribosomal RNA", at positions 85 to 619 of the family's 1533-position model. The record is from RNAcentral. Lineage: Bacteria; Pseudomonadati; Pseudomonadota; Betaproteobacteria; Burkholderiales; Oxalobacteraceae.
CUGGCGGCGAGUGGCGAACGGGUGAGUAAUAUAUCGGAACGUACCCAAGAGUGGGGGAUAACGUAGCGAAAGUUACGCUAAUACCGCAUACGAUCCAAGGAUGAAAGUGGGGGACCUUCGGGCCUCAUGCUCCUGGAGCGGCCGAUAUCUGAUUAGCUAGUUGGUAGGGUAAAGGCCUACCAAGGCAACGAUCAGUAGCUGGUCUGAGAGGACGACCAGCCACACUGGAACUGAGACACGGUCCAGACUCCUACGGGAGGCAGCAGUGGGGAAUAUUGGACAAUGGGCGAAAGCCUGAUCCAGCCAUGCCGCGUGUGUGAAGAAGGUCUUCGGAUUGUAAAGCACUUUAAGUUGGGAGGAAGGGCAUUUACCUAAUACGUAAGUGUUUUGACGUUACCGACAGAAUAAGCACCGGCUAGCUCUGUGCCAGCAGCCGCGGCAAUACAGAGGGUGCAAGCGUUAAUCGGAAUUACUGGGCGUAAAGCGCGCGUAGGUGGUUUGUUAAGUUGGAUGUGAAAUCCCCGGGCUCAACCUGGGA